This 464-nucleotide ribosomal RNA is filed under the name uncultured Geobacteraceae bacterium. Its description in RNAcentral is "partial 16S ribosomal RNA". It matches the Rfam family "Bacterial small subunit ribosomal RNA", at positions 338 to 794 of the family's 1533-position model. The record is from RNAcentral. Lineage: Bacteria; Pseudomonadati; Thermodesulfobacteriota; Desulfuromonadia; Geobacterales; Geobacteraceae.
CCUACGGGAGGCAGCAGUGGGGAAUUUUGCGCAAUGGGGGCAACCCUGACGCAGCAACGCCGCGUGAGUGAUGAAGGCCUUCGGGUCGUAAAGCUCUGUCAGAGGGGAAGAAAUGCAGGUGGUGAACAACCAUUCUGUUUGACGGUACCCUCAAAGGAAGCACCGGCUAACUUCGUGCCAGCAGCCGCGGUAAUACGGAGGGUGCGAGCGUUGUUCGGAAUUAUUGGGCGUAAAGCGCGUGUAGGCGGUUUGUUAAGUCGGAGGUAAAAGCCCCGGGCUCAACCGGGGAAGUGCAUUGGAUACUGGCAGACUUGAGUACGGGAGAGGAGAGUGGAAUUCCCAGUGUAGGAGUGAAAUCCGUAGAUAUCGGGAGGAACACCAGAGGCGAGGGCGGCUCUCUAUGCUACUCCUGACGCUGAGGCACGAAAGCUAGGGGAGCAAACGGGAUUAGAUACCCCUGUAGU